Molecule: non-coding RNA, 663 nt
Filed under: Perkinsus marinus ATCC 50983
Lineage: Eukaryota; Perkinsozoa; Perkinsida; Perkinsidae
Description: Eukaryotic large subunit ribosomal RNA
Rfam family: Eukaryotic large subunit ribosomal RNA
Source: Rfam by way of RNAcentral
GCUCGCUGAUUUGUUUCAGUACGACACAACUGCGAAGCAUGCUAUCGAUCUUAGUCUGUGAGUAUACAGCUAGAGUGUCAGAAAGUACACAGGAUACUGCUGUGCAGCAGCGUCAUAGCGACGUGCUUUUGAUCUUCGAUGUCGGCUCUCCUAUCAUUGAGACGCAGAAGUCUCAAAGUGUCGGAUUGUUCACCCGCCAAUAGGGAACGUGAGCUGGGUUUAGACCGUCGUGAGACAGGUUAGUUUUACCCUACUGACAAAGUAGAUACUGCGACAGUAGUCGAAGUUAGUACGAGAGGAACACUUCGUCCAGAUACUUGGUUAAUGCCGUUGUCUGAAAAGACAGUACGGCGAAGCUACCAUCUGCUGGAUUACGGCUGAACGCCUCUAAGCCGGAAUCCAUGCUGGAUAAGCAGUGUUGUACACCGUGCUCAAUGCUACAAGAAAAAGGCUAGGUCAGGCUUCGGCCUGACCAAAAUUCAAGCUGCUAUACCUCUGGCUGCAUUGACUUGUGGUCAGAGUGUAUGGUGAUCAUAGCAAUUGCAAGUAUUGGGCUCGAUAAAUCCUUUGAAGACGACUUAAUUGCAUCCGGGUAUUGUAAGUGUUGAGAGUAGGCUUAGUCUUACGAUCCACUGAGAUUCAUCCCGUGUUGCGCCGAUUUGU